GACGAACGCUGGCGGCGUGCUUAACACAUGCAAGUCACGGGGGCUCGCAAGGGCAACCGGCGAACGGGUGCGUAACACGUGAGCAACUUACCGAUUUGUGGGGGAUAGCCGGCCCAACGGCCGGGUAAUACCGCAUACGCUCUUUGGGUGGAGUCACCUGAAGAGGAAACCUCCGGGGCAAAUCGAGGGGCUCGCGGCCUAUCAGCUAGUUGGUGCGGGUAACGGCCCACCAAGGCGAUGACGGGUAGCNGGUCUGAGAGGAUGGCCAGCCACAUUGGGACUGAGACACGGCCCAGACUCCUACGGGAGGCAGCAGUGGGGAAUCUUGCGCAAUGGGCGGAAGCCUGACGCAGCGACGCCGCGUGAGGGAUGACGGCCU
This 379-nucleotide ribosomal RNA is filed under the name uncultured bacterium. Its description in RNAcentral is "bacterial SSU rRNA". It matches the Rfam family "Bacterial small subunit ribosomal RNA", at positions 28 to 417 of the family's 1533-position model. The record is from RNAcentral.